UUCAGCAGAACCAGAGCUACUCCCCUGGAAUCCAACCAGUAAGCUGUUAUCAGAAUUCUCCAGCCACUCCUGGAUACCAUUGCCAACAAGCUGGAAAGAACUGUGUAGGAGGAAAUGCCAGACUUGCUGAGUCAGGCAACUUCUUCAACCCAAGGUUGACUGGAAAUGAGCGUGACUGCAUCCAUGGGAACACAGGAGCACCUACUCAAUGCUUGGCCCUAUAAAAUCGUAAUGAUCCCAUGAAGCAAGUAUUAUUUUGCUUCAUGGAAAAUCAACCGAAAAUGGAUUAAAGACUUAAAUGUAAAACCCAAAACUGUAAAAACCCUAGAAGACAACCUAGGCAAUACCAUCCUGGACACAGGAACUGGCAAAGAUUUCAUGACAAAGACACCAAAAGCAAACACAACUGAAGUAAAAAUUGACAAAUGGGAUCUAAUUAAGAGCUUCUGCACAGUAAGAGAAACUAUCCACAGAGUAAACACACAAUCUACAGAAUGGGAGAAAGCAUCUGCAAACUAUGCAUGUGACAAAAGUCUACUAUUCAUCAUCUAUAAGAAACUUAAACAAAUUUACAAGAGAAAAACAAACAACCCCAUUAAAAAGUGGGCAAAAGACAUGAACAGACACUUUUCAAAAGAAGACAUACAUGCAGCCAGCAAGCAUAUGAAAAAAGAUCAAUAUCACCAUUCAUUAGAGAAAUGCUCAUUAAAACCACAAUGAAAUAGCAUCUCACACCAGUCAGAAUGGCUAUAAUAAAAAGUCAAAAAAUAACAUGCCGGCAAGGUUGCAGAGAAAAGGGAACACUUAUACACUGUUGGUGGGAGUUUAAAUUGUGGAAA
Molecule: long non-coding RNA, 839 nt
Organism: Homo sapiens (human)
Lineage: Eukaryota; Metazoa; Chordata; Mammalia; Primates; Hominidae
Source: Ensembl